Long non-coding RNA from Bombus pascuorum, 1517 nucleotides. RefSeq lists it as uncharacterized. NCBI's taxonomy places the organism in Eukaryota, Metazoa, Arthropoda, Insecta, Hymenoptera, Apidae. The record is from RefSeq and is a predicted model, not a curated record. The transcript is spliced from 3 exons.
GAUUUUGUCUUCUACGCCGUCUGGUCGCGGGAUUUUGAUGAAAGCGUCUAUGUCACCCACUGCUGGGAUGUAAUCGGGGAUGAAUGGUGUAAAAAGUUGGUUUUCAUCCUUUUCAUACUUGGACGCGAGAACCACGAGGAGAAAAAGAACGGCACAGAUGACCGAAAAAGCUACGACAUCUGUCGUAAUAUUCCUCAACGUGAUACGAAGUUUCGUAUCCGAAGAAUCGAAGUUGUCGUUUGUUGCCAUCCAGAAGACUUUAUAGAGAAUCACAUCCUAAAACAUUUUGUUUUGGGACACACACCGAAUUUGUGAUUUUUCUUUUGUAUAACAUAUACUUCACACUUUUUGACAAAUAAGAUUGGAAAGUAUUUACAUAUGUACUGGUUUUAAAGCACGGAGUUCAUUAUUUUAAGAAUUAUGCGUAUGCAAAGUUUAUGCAUAUUGCAGUGUUUACUUGGAGACAUACAUGAUUUAUUACAUCAUCAAGAGCUCGAUCGAUAACCAUCAAUUGGUGUCAUUUUGUUGAAGUUGACCUAUGAGACUUUCAGAUAAUUUUAGAACAAUUUACUUUAAUUUCUGUUACAUAGUCUACAUCGCAAAGUAGCCAUCAAUGACAUUUAUCGAGAAUAUAUAAAAUAAAACAUAAAAUAUAAAUCAAAGACAGAUAGAUGAACUAGAUAUAACGAAUCUUAAAACUAACCUUUGUGACUACUUAUAACACAACAAUAUCAAUGAGAGAACAACAGAAUGAAUUGAUAUUGAUUUGGGUUAGGUUUCAUCAAUAUUAUUAAGAAUCAUAUUGAUGUCAGAUGUAAGUAAAUCAGCGAAAGAUUAGACGCGCAAGAGAGGUUAGUAUCAUUUGUUGUUGAUGACUUUAUCGAUAAAAGUCAAUAUGGUAUCCAAAUAAACUGUGCAAUAUACACAAACUUUAUAUACGCAUAAGUUGUAAAAUGAUGAUCUCCGCGCCUUGAAACUGGGAUUUUUGGAUUCCACUCAUGAUAUGAUAAAAAAGAGUCCCAUACAAGCGCGACGUUAUUUUCUUCUUAAUAAAUACUACAGAAAAAUAGCUUUCUUAAUUUAAGUAAUUUUUCUAUCAUACUGAUUGACAUCUGGAUGUUCCGUUGUUCUUGUAAUAAGGAGGUUAAUCACGCGAUCUUACUCGUUCCCUCGUCUUCUCGUGGAUACAGUGGAAAUUUGUCCGACUAUCUUUUGCCACAAAAAUCUCACAUUGCUCUACCUACUGCCCAGAAUUUGACAAAAGCUUCGCGAUUCAAGAUUACACUGUCGUUUGUUAUAGAAAUCGAUAUAGAAAAUAUUAUAAUAUUCAAGAGAUAUUUGUAUAUAUAGUAAAUCUAAAACAGCAUUGUAUAAACUAAACCUAACCCAUAAAGGUGCAUGUGACUUCAAAUAAAUGAAAUAAAAGAAUUAUAUUAGAGAAAACAAAAUUUGAUGUGAAUUAUGUAUAUAUUAUUUUAAGAAGAUUUAUAAUAAAAAUAUUGAAAUCUUAUUAUUGA